Molecule: long non-coding RNA, 4057 nt
Organism: Brassica napus (rape)
Lineage: Eukaryota; Viridiplantae; Streptophyta; Magnoliopsida; Brassicales; Brassicaceae
Exons: 3
Source: RefSeq, a predicted model, not a curated record
UUUAAGUGAUAUGUUUUAAUCUUUGUUGAUUUGAUUCCUUUGUAGGUGCCACAAGAUAAUAAUCUUAAAUCAUAUAUUUGUGAAUUUCAUGUCAUACUUUCCGACUGUUUGACAAACAAGUUAAGUAUAAUUGGGAGUCGUCGGCUAAACAUACAUGAGUUUGUUUCAGCAGCCAUGGGGAUUGAUUUUGUUUAGUGGCUAUUACUUUAACCACAAGGUAAGAAACAUUAGAUUACUUUUAAAAAUCUGUUCUUUCAUUUAUAUAGAAUUAUUAUCUUUUAUAAAUGGCCGAAAGAAGAUGAACAAUAAAGGUUUGUAAAUACCAAUGAGGACGCCAAGCCACCAGAUCACCAUUCUUUGGAUAAGGUUCAUAACGUUAUUGCUGUUGAGGCGAUCAUAUCAUCCUUCUGUUAGAUAUAUACAUGUAUAAGGCCGUUCUGUAAAUGUUACUAGCUUUUGGUUAGUCGCUAUUACUUUAACCACAAGGUAAAAAACAUUAGUUUGCUUUUAAAAAAUCAUUAUUCAUUUAUAUAGAAUUAUCUUUUUAUAGUUGAAAAAAAAGAAUUAUCUUUUAUGAAUGGCCGAAAAGAAGAUGAACAAUAAAGGUUUGUAAAUACCAACGGGGACGCCAAGCCACUAGAUCACCAUUCUUUAGAUAAGGUUCAUAACGUUGUUGCUGUUGAUGCGAUCAUAUCAACCUUCUGUUAUUGUUUAGAGUUGCUGCCAAUAGGGUAUAUAUAUAUAUAUUAUAAGGUUUUGAAAAUGCUACGAGUUUUUUUUUUGUUAAGGGAAUAAUAUUUUCUUAUAAAAAGUAGGAUCAUUAGAUUACAAAAGACAACUGUAUUUAUCCAAAAUGCUGGUAAGAAUAUCAACAUCUUUGUUAGUGUAUUUUGUCCGCAGACACGUGACGUGGAAGCUGGAACGCCACAAUCGUAGACAGUUGUGAUUUGUGAAAAGCCAUCAAGUCACAUGGUAAGUCUUGUGCCAGAGUCAACAACGAGUGACACAACAGUAUCACACCCUCGAUCGCCUACAGAGACAACAGAGUCAACUCAGAUGCUGAGUCCAAUGGAUAGAAAGGCUACUAGGGUCAUGAGAUACAGAGAGAAGAAGAAGACAAGGAAGUUUGAGAAGAGGAUAAGGUAUGCUUCAAGGAAAAAGUAUGCAGAGAAAAGACCAAGGAUCAAAGGCCGGUUUGCAAAGAGGAAUGAAGUUGAUGCAGACCAAGCUUUCUCCACAAUGGCAAUGUUUGACACAUGAUAUGGAGUUGUUCCUUCGUUCUGAUAGACUCCUAUGGCAAGAACUAGAUUCCAUGCUUGUAAAAAAUGCAUUACUGGUUUGAAUUUCUUAGAAGUUAUCUUAUAACCACUGUAAUGCAUAUAGGUCUCUGUUUUUGUCUACCAGAGAAAAUAAGGUUUUACACAAUAUGAUUUUACAAACAAAGUAGUUUAGAGCAUGAUUAUUGGAGGGUUCUUAAGGUGGGGUUCUCAGCGGAAUAUAAGAACCCGUCUCUUAAUUUUUAACUAAAAAAGCUAAGAACCGACUCUUAAAACUCUUAUUUAAGAACCGGUUCUUAGCUUUUUUAAUUAAAAGUUAAGAGACGAGUUCUUAUAUUCCGUUAAGAAUCUCACCUUAAGAACCCCGCAAUAAUUAUGCUCUUACAUAAUUAACUGUAGACAUAUAAAACUUGAAAAAUUCAGUUAAUAGAUGAAACUUUUUAAACUGAUAAUUAUUCAUUGGUUAAUGGCAAGGAAGCUUGAAACUUGAAAAAUCCAGUUGUAGCAAUUGUUAUUUAUGAGACUUUAGCAUCAGAACUCGAUAUCAUUCCCGUACUUUCCCAUCAUAUGUUUUCUUUCAGAGAUGCAUGACAGAGAUGUCGGACACGUUCAGGUCUAUCCAAAUAUUUUUUUCCUUUGUUCUUAUUUCCCCAGUAUGGUACUAAAAGGUCAUGGUUCUAAACAAAUCGCAGGGAAUGGGUUUCGUAGCCGGUCUGUUGCUUUUUUAUAUGAGCGAAGUUGCAUUACUUAAAGCAGCUGUUCACUCCACUCCCCAAUGGAAAGAUUUUACCAGACUACCAGUUGGUAAGAGAGCUAAUGCCGAAACUAGGAGAAUAUUUCACUCAAACUAUGAUUAAUCCGAGUAUGUAUGCAAGGUAUUAACAUUGUGUUCAAAGUCGCUUUAGAAUUGUUGAAGCGUUGCCAUGAUGAUUUGGUAAAAUUUCCAUUUGAGGAACUCAUGCAUGCUUUGGAAGAAAUGAAACAGGAUCGUGAGAAGGCCGUAGCUAAACCGGUUUAAACGGCCAAACCGGUUCAACUUUAGUGUUUGAUAAACUUGGAGCUUGGAGCCCCAGGGUCUGUUAAUUAUGGAUUUAUUUAUCUCUCAUUCUUUUUAUUGCCCCUCAUGUGUGAAGAAAGCAUAGUAAUUUCCUUUCUUCUGUAAAAAUAAGUUUGGAUUCCAAGAAAAUCAACUUUAUAGUUUCUUCUUUCUUUUUUGGCAUAAUUGUUUUUUUUAACAUGCUUCUGUAAUGUCUAAGUCACAAUGUAUUGUAUAUUCUCAAAGUCCAAAUGUAAUGACAAAACAGAAACUAAGAGAAAUUCUACAUGAUUUAAGUUAGGGGUGUCAAUUCGGGCCGGUCCGGUCCGGCCCGGUCCAAACCCGUUAAGCUCGUAAAUAUUUAAGUUCGGUCCAGAAAUAUUUUGGGCAUAGAAUUCAAAGUCCGGUCCUUAUAGGGCUCUAGGGUUUCUCGAGUUUUUUUGGGGUUUUCUAAAAAUAAUUUGUCAUUAUCACUUCUAUUGUUUUAAUACAUGUGAAUUUUCAUUAAAAUAAUUUCAAUUUUUUUUAUUUUAAAAUAUAAAGUGAGUUUAAAACUUUAUUCUUUGUCAAAAAUGUUUUACUUUUCGUAUGCUUUAAAAAUAUAUUAUAAACAAGCCAAAUUUAAUAAGAUUUAAAUAAUAAAAUAUAAAUUAAAACUAAAUAUAUAAGAGAAUAAAAUUUAUGAUAAACAUGGUCGAACGUUUCAUACUUUGUAUUUUGAAAAAAAAUGUUGUACAUAAAAGAAGAAUGUACAUUUGCAAAAUUUAAAAUGUGACACUAAUAAUGGUUUUGAUUGCAAUAACGAUAAUAUUUAAGCUAAUGUAUACAAUUUCGGGUUUUCGGGCCGGAUCCUAGCCUAAACGGGCUUAGGCCCAAAAUACCCAAAGCCCAAACGAGCUUAGCCCGAAAUGCCUAAUUUUUUGGGCUUAUAAAACUAAGCCCAAGCCUGGUAAUUUUUAAAGCUGGACAGGUUCGGGCUGCGGUCUUCGACCCUAAUUGAGAUGUCUAAUUUCAGUUUGGCUUCUCAUCACAGAAUUCACACCAUCUCUUUGUCUGCAUACUUCCUAUAUUACUCAUUUGAUGUCCUAAUGUGUCACUUACCUCACUGAUUCAAAGAUUAUGUUUUCACUUGUGAGUUUUGCUUGUUGAAUGCGGAGCUUUAGAUGCAGCUUUAGCUCAGCCUGUUUAGAAAUUUUUUCUCUAAAAGCUUUAUAUAUGAAUUGAAACUGUUUUCAUCGCUGUCUUGAUAUCCCAAAUCUUUUUUCUUACAACUUGUACAAGAAACACCAGGUGCUUAUUAUUUUGGAGGAAAGGGAAGAACCCUUGAAUCAUCACAAAUUUCUAGAGAUCUUAAACAUGUUAAAAAAUUUGGAAAACUUCUAGUGAUUUGUUCAGUGAGUUGCAGCUUCUUCAUCAGUCAUCACACCUGGGAAAUCAAAUACUCGCUUGAAGAUCAUUAAAAAAAAGGAGUGAACCUUUUCCCAGAGAAAGAAUAUGAGAAGCUUCGGCGUGUGGGCCGUGUUUAUCUGAGUUGACAGUGGACUCGAACUCGGAUCUCUUAGAGAUCCACAGAAGACCUUGAAGAUCAUUAAUAUCUUAUCAAUGACCUAAAUUAUCUCUGUUUUUUAUUGUUAUUUGUACUACUAGUUUUACAAGUACGAAACAACACUAUAUAUGUAGGUACAGUUGAAAACCAUUGGCAUCAAUGGUCUCUCAGUAAUGAUCCCCUAAGUUUAAGAUAAUA